GAGUACAAAUAAUCAGGGCACCCUGGCGAGGAGGAGGAGAGAGAUGUGGUAGAAGAACAUACCCCACCCCCAGUGAAGAAUUAGAAGAAGAAUAGCACGUCGGCCGAUCGCGGUCCGUCCAAGAAGAAGAAGCUAGGCAUCACGCCAGGCCAGCUGGUACCUUCAAGUCUAGAGUACACGAGCAUGAGGAUGAGGACCACCAGCCUCCUCCUUGCCACCGGCGUCGUUGUUGCCGUCGUCUGCGCCGCUGUCACCCCCACACCCGGGUGGAAAUCCUGCGACGACGGCCCCAAGAUCGACGAGCUCGCAAAGUGGGGGCUGGCGGAGAUGAAUGAAGCAAGGCCUCCAGUUGAGCAGCGUGCUCCGUUGCGAGGAGCAAGGCCAAGGCGGUCAAGGAAUCAUCUAUCGUAUCCUGCUGGACGCGGUCGACCACACCGGCGGGAUGGGCCACUUCACGGCGGACGUGUACGAGGAGGCGGCGACCAAAGUGCGUAAGCUCCUCUACUUCGGCAAAGCCCCGGGGUAGGUAGCGGCCGGGUUGGCAGGACUAGUUAGCCGGUAUUUCCCAUGUGGAUGGAGUAUCAAGCGUGUUUGUCUUUUGUUUCGCACCACUAAUAAGAUGUUGCAAGAAAA
Non-coding RNA from Aegilops tauschii subsp. strangulata, 633 nucleotides. The record is from RefSeq and is a predicted model, not a curated record. Lineage: Eukaryota; Viridiplantae; Streptophyta; Magnoliopsida; Poales; Poaceae.